GGUUGCGAUCAUACCAGCACUAAUGCACCGUAUCCCAUCAGAACUCCGCAGUUAAGCGUGCUUGGGCGAGAGUAGUACUAGGAUGGGUGACCCCCUGGGAAGUCCUCGUGUUGCAACCC
This 119-nucleotide ribosomal RNA is filed under the name Helianthus annuus (common sunflower). The record is from RNAcentral. Lineage: Eukaryota; Viridiplantae; Streptophyta; Magnoliopsida; Asterales; Asteraceae.